AAGUUUCUGUAAAUUUACACCCAGAUUCCAACAUUAUUCACCUGUUUCCUUCAAUAAACAGGACUUUCCAGUCAUUAGUAAGACAAAUGUGUAAAAUCAGGCUCCAACACUGUUAUUUACCAUGCCCGUAAUGUUUAUUCUGGAACACACGUACUUCCUGUUAUCUAUUAACGUUACCUUCGAUCUGGUGAUGGGAAGCUGUCUGCUGAGAGAAGACGAUACGUUGGAAUCAUACCCAAACCCAUCAACACAAUAAGGGAUGUGCGACUGUAGCUGAUGUUGAGUCUUCCAAGCCUACCUGUGACGCCUCGCCUGAUAUUACUAGGUGAACGACAAGGUAAUCAUCAAAAGUGGAUGGUCAGCAUUGAAUCCUUAAUCGUUUGUGAAGGGUCCAACCUCGCCACAUUUCUAACAGGGAUUGCGACAUGUUUCUCCACCUUCUAUAUUCUGAAUCUGCAAUAUCAGGAGGAGGCAGCGUGCACCCUUGAAUUCUUCCAGAGAAAAAGGCCCAGAAGAAGCCUAAGAACAAUCACUAAUAAGUAAAGUGAAUGUUACUUGAUUUCUCAUGAAUGUUACUUGAUUCCCUCCCUGAUUAUCAUUUAUACUCAUCUCUUACUUUAAAUUCUUCUGGACAUAAUCUGUCAGUUUAUUAAUUCUCAC
Alosa sapidissima (American shad) is the source of this 660-nucleotide long non-coding RNA. RefSeq lists it as uncharacterized. The transcript is spliced from 4 exons. The record is from RefSeq and is a predicted model, not a curated record. Lineage: Eukaryota; Metazoa; Chordata; Actinopteri; Clupeiformes; Clupeidae.